This 478-nucleotide ribosomal RNA is filed under the name uncultured bacterium. Its description in RNAcentral is "partial 16S ribosomal RNA". It matches the Rfam family "Bacterial small subunit ribosomal RNA", at positions 28 to 523 of the family's 1533-position model. The record is from RNAcentral.
GACGAACGCUGGCGGCGUGCUUAACACAUGCAAGUCGAACGGUAAGGCCCUUCGGGGUACACGAGUGGCGAACGGGUGAGUAACACGUGGGUGAUCUGCCCUGCACUUCGGGAUAAGCCUGGGAAACUGGGUCUAAUACCGGAUAGGACUCCUAGCUUCAUGGUUGGGGGUGGAAAGCUUUUGCGGUGUGGGAUGGGCCCGCGGCCUAUCAGCUUGUUGGUGGGGUAAUGGCCUACCAAGGCGACGACGGGUAGCCGGCCUGAGAGGGUGACCGGGAAACCUGGGACUGAGAUACGGCCCAGACUCCUACGGGAGGCAGAAGUGGGGAAUAUUGCACAAUGGGCGCAAGCCUGAUGCAGCGACGCCGCGUGAGGGAUGACGGCCUUCGGGUUGUAAACCUCUUUCAGCAUCGACGAAGCGAAAGUGACGGUAGGUGCAGAAGAAGGACCGGCCAACUACGUGCCAGCAGCCGCCGUAA